RNAcentral lists this ribosomal RNA (221 nucleotides) under Shewanella algae. RNAcentral describes it as "partial 23S ribosomal RNA". It matches the Rfam family "Bacterial large subunit ribosomal RNA", at positions 473 to 695 of the family's 2925-position model. Lineage: Bacteria; Pseudomonadati; Pseudomonadota; Gammaproteobacteria; Alteromonadales; Shewanellaceae. The record is from RNAcentral.
CUCCUGACUGACCGAUAGUGAACCAGUACCGUGAGGGAAAGGCGAAAAGAACCCCUGUGAGGGGAGUGAAAUAGAACCUGAAACCGUAUACGUACAAGCAGUGGAAGCGGUACUUGAGACCGUGACUGCGUACCUUUUGUAUAAUGGGUCAGCGACUUACAUUUAGUAGCGAGGUUAAGCGAAUAGCGGAGCCGUAGGGAAACCGAGUGUUAACUGCGCGU